GAAACAGUUGCUAAGACUGGAUAGGAAAUUAGAAGGCAUCUUUUAAUUUUUAAAAGACCUUUUUCGAAAGGUAUACUUAAAGAGGGGCUUGCGGCACAUUAGUUAGUUGGUAGGGUAAAAGCCUACCAAGACCAUGAUGUGUAGCUGGACUGAGAGGUUGAACAGCCACAUUGGGACUGAGACACGGCCCAAACUCCUACGGGAGGCAGCAGUAGGGAAUUUUCGGCAAUGGAGGAAACUCUGACCGAGCAACGCCGCGUGAACGAUGAAGUAUUUCGGUAUGUAAAGUUCUUUUAUUGGAGAAGAAAAAAUAGUGGAAAAACUAUCUUGACGAUAUUCAAUGAAUAAGCCCCGGCAAACUAUGUGCCAGCAGCCGCGGUAAUACAUAGGGGGCGAGCGUUAUCCGGAAUUAUUGGGCGUAAAGGGUGCGUAGGCGGUUUGGUAAGUCUAUAGUUUAAUUUCAGUGCUUAACACUGUUCUGCUAUAGAAACUAUCAGACUAGAGUGAGAUAGAGGCAAGUGGAAUUCCAUGUGUAGCGGUAAAAUGCGUAAAUAUAUGGAGGAACACCAGAGGCGUAGGCGGCUUGCUGGGUCUUUACUGACGCUGAGGCACGAAAGCGUGGGGAGCAAACAGGAUUAGAUACCCUGGUAGUCCACGCCGUAAACGAUGAGUACUAAGUGUCGGGGAAACUCGGUACUGAAGUUAACACAUUAAGUACUCCGCCUGAGUAGUACGUACGCAAGUAUGAAACUUAAAGGAAUUGACGGGACUCCGCACAAGCGGUGGAUCAUGUUGUUUAAUUCGAAGAUACACGAAAAACCUUACCAGGUCUUGACAUACUCUGCAAAGCUAUAGCAAUAUAGUGGAGGUUAUCAGGGAUACAGGUGGUGCAUGGUUGUCGUCAGCUCGUGUCGUGAGAUGUUAGGUUAAGUCCUAAAACGAGCGCAACCCUUGUCACUAGUUGCCAGCAUGUUAUGAUGGGCACUUUAGUGAGACUGCCAAUGAAAAAUUGGAGGAAGGUGAGGAUCACGUCAAAUCAUCAUGCCCCUUAUGAUCUGGGCUACAAACGUGAUACAAUGGCUGUUACAAAGAGUAGCUAAAACGCGAGUUUAUAGCCAAUCUCAUAAAAGCAGUCUCAGUUCGGAUUGAAGUCUGCAACUCGACUUCAUGAAGUUGGAAUCGCUAGUAAUCGCGAAUCAGCAUGUCGCGGUGAAUACGUUCUCGGGGUUUGUACACACCGCCCGUC
This 1246-nucleotide ribosomal RNA is filed under the name 'Cynodon dactylon' phytoplasma. Its description in RNAcentral is "bacterial SSU rRNA". It matches the Rfam family "Bacterial small subunit ribosomal RNA", at positions 153 to 1398 of the family's 1533-position model. RNAcentral also lists the same sequence under 6 other names. Lineage: Bacteria; Bacillati; Mycoplasmatota; Mollicutes; Acholeplasmatales; Acholeplasmataceae. The record is from RNAcentral.